GAGGAAAGCGGGAGGUGUGAAUAAUACAUGCAAGUCGAGCGAACAGACGAGGAGCUUGCUCCUCUGACGUUAGCGGCGGACGGGUGAGUAACACGUGGAUAACCUACCUAUAAGACUGGGAUAACUUCGGGAAACCGGAGCUAAUACCGGAUAAUAUAUUGAACCGCAUGGUUCAAUAGUAAAAGACGGUUUUGCUGUCACUUAUAGAUGGAUCCGCGCCGCAUUAGCUAGUUGGUAAGGUAACGGCUUACCAAGGCAACGAUGCGUAGCCGACCUGAGAGGGUGAUCGGCCACACUGGAACUGAGACACGGUCCAGACUCCUACGGGAGGCAGCAGUAGGGAAUCUUCCGCAAUGGGCGAAAGCCUGACGGAGCAACGCCGCGUGAGUGAUGAAGGUCUUCGGAUCGUAAAACUCUGUUAUUAGGGAAGAACAAAUGUGUAAGUAACUAUGCACGUCUUGACGGUACCUAAUCAGAAAGCCACGGCUAACUACGUG
This 497-nucleotide ribosomal RNA is filed under the name uncultured bacterium. RNAcentral's name for it is "partial 16S ribosomal RNA". It matches the Rfam family "Bacterial small subunit ribosomal RNA", at positions 28 to 507 of the family's 1533-position model. The record is from RNAcentral.